UUUGACUGAUGUGUAUCAUUUCCAAGAUAUGAUUGAAAUGCUUGUUGGGUGUGGCUACAAGAAAAGAACCACAUUGCUUGGUUAUGGUUAUGACUUCAGGCAAAGCAAUAGAAUUGAUAAGCUGAUGGAUGGCCUUAAAGCCAAGUUGGAAACUUCUUGCAAAGCCACUAGUGGAAGGAAAGUUAACUUGUUACUUUUCUUUGUUGAUGUUAUUUCUGGCUUGAAUGUAGGUCUAAUU
Non-coding RNA from Arachis ipaensis, 238 nucleotides. Lineage: Eukaryota; Viridiplantae; Streptophyta; Magnoliopsida; Fabales; Fabaceae. The record is from RefSeq and is a predicted model, not a curated record.